Molecule: transfer RNA, 90 nt
Filed under: Ovis aries (sheep)
Lineage: Eukaryota; Metazoa; Chordata; Mammalia; Artiodactyla; Bovidae
Rfam family: tRNA
About the family: Transfer RNA (tRNA) molecules are approximately 80 nucleotides in length.
Source: Rfam by way of RNAcentral
CCUUCGAUAGCUCAGCUGGUAGAGCGGAGGACUGUAGACUUGAUAAAUGUGGACAUCCUUAGGUCGCUGGUUUGAUUCUGGCUCGAAGGA